GUAGGGAAUCUUCCACAAUGGGCGAAAGCCUGAUGGAGCAACGCCGCGUGUGUGAUGAAGGGUUUCGGCUCGUAAACACUGUUGUAAGAGAAGAAUGACAUUGAGAGUAACUGUUCAAUGUGUGACGGUAUCUUACCAGAAAGGAACGGCUAAAUACGCGCCAG
RNAcentral lists this ribosomal RNA (164 nucleotides) under uncultured bacterium. RNAcentral's name for it is "partial 16S rRNA". It matches the Rfam family "Bacterial small subunit ribosomal RNA", at positions 354 to 511 of the family's 1533-position model. The record is from RNAcentral.